CUCAAUGAAAAUUUAAUAGCCGCAAUAUAUCGUGCUAAGGUAGCAUAAUCAUUUGUCUUUUAAUUAAAGACUAGAACGAAAGAUUUAAUAUUUUUAUCUCUCUACUAUAUAUAUAUAUAUAUAAAUUAUACUAAAUAUUAAAAAAUAUUUAUAUAUAAAAAAGACGACAAGACCCUAUUGAACUUAACUGAAGUUUAACUGGGGUAGUUAAUUAAAUAAAAUUUUAAUUUAAAUUUAAAAAAUAAUCUAAUUCAACUAAAUAUAAUCAAGUUACCAUAGGGAUAACAGCGCAACAAUUUUUUCAAGCUCUUAUUAAAAAAAUUAUAUACGACCUCGAUGUUGAAUUAAUAUUCUAUUAAAUGCAACGAUUAAUAAGAAAGUC
RNAcentral lists this ribosomal RNA (382 nucleotides) under Coelotinae sp. ZZ531. Its description in RNAcentral is "partial 16S ribosomal RNA". Lineage: Eukaryota; Metazoa; Arthropoda; Arachnida; Araneae; Agelenidae. The record is from RNAcentral.